GGGUCUAUCCAUUGGUCGGGCUUUACGGUCCGUACUGGUUCGAUGGGUUCCUACCUUCUGAAUAACCGGCAUGCCAUUCAGUUGGUGCGCCGGGGAAGCAGAGCUAUUACCUUGAAAAAAUUAGAGUGCUUAAAGCAGGCUAUUGCUUGAAUAGAUUAGCAUGGAAUAAUAAAAUAGGACGGCAUGGUUCUAUUUUGUUGGUUUCUGAAUCACCGUA
This 217-nucleotide ribosomal RNA is filed under the name Glomeromycotina sp. RNAcentral describes it as "partial small subunit ribosomal RNA". The stretch from base 93 to 217 matches the Rfam family "Eukaryotic small subunit ribosomal RNA", at positions 738 to 864 of the family's 1831-position model. The record is from RNAcentral. Lineage: Eukaryota; Fungi; Glomeromycota.